AAACAACCCUGAUUUCCAAGGGCACAUGGUAAGAAUUAGAGCUUUUGGAUAUGCUUCAUUCUAAAGGGAGAAUUGAUACAAUGAAGUAACUUUAGAAGAUUAAAGGUAUUACUACUAAACAAUCAUGAGGUACUUUCAGAUACAGCGUAUAGACUAAGUUCCUAUGCAUGAGACUUUAUGCCAACAAUUGUGAGGUCCCAGAACUUUCUCUCAGGAACUGUUUCAAUGACUGCUGUUUAUCAACGUGAAAGAAAGUAUCCAGGAGAACAUGGAGAAAAUUAAAACUUUGUGGAGAAUGAAAGCCAGCUCAGGGAUCAUUUCUAACCCCAUGCACAGGAUAUUUAUAGCCUCCCUGUCUUACUUGUUCUUUACCACAGUUCUGUGAAAUAGGCAUUAUUCCAAUUUUUUGAUGAGAAAAACGAAGCUCAAAGAAACUGUGACCUUCCUAAGACAGUCAGUGAGAGUGGCAUCGGAAUUCUGAUCCGAUCUGAUCGACACUGCUGAUGGCAAAUAUGAUGCUCUCCGCUAUGACAGACUGCCUCACUAUCUACCAUACAGCUGGAAGUGGGUCUUUUCUUGUCAUUCCUGAAGUGAGAAGUGCUUCUAAAGCGAGUGUCAACCUAAAUAGGUAAACUGAGGCAAGCUCAAAUUACCAUAAAUUGAGUUUAUUUGAGAAAAGCAGAAGAAUUGCAAUACAGCGCACGCAAACUGUAGCAAGCUACAGUUUGAAAUCCUUCCACAUGAGGAAGCAGAUAUUACUUUCCCGCAAAGGAUUGAGACCAGCGGCAUGGCUAAGAAUCAUGGAAACAGUGGUAAAGACCAAUUCAAGGCAAAGCAAAUUAGCAAAAGAUGCAGGUAAAAAAGUAUGGAGGACUCAGCAAAAAACUUGCAUAAAGUGCCCUUACAGAUUGACAAAACCGCGUGACAAAUACCCCGUGGACAUUGCUGCUUCCUCUGCACUUUGUAUGGAGGUUCAUAUUAACCUCAUUAUCCAGUUAUUUGUAUUUUCUGGGCCCUGAUGUUCUAGCAUAUUCAGAUGGGAAAGGCCAAGAGAACUAAAAUGGUUGGAAUGUGCUGACCUUGCCUUUGUCUGUUGAGUCUUAUGAAGUAUCUCCAGGGGUUUUUAAGGCCAGACAAGAAAAUGCUGUGAAGGCACAUGAAAGAGAAGUCUGUGCAGGGAUCCCCAACACAAACCAGAGAAAAUUUUCUGUAUCUAAAGGCUAUCUGCUUUGUUGCUUCUGGACAAAAGUCUGAGAGGAAGGGGAAGCAUGUGCUGCCUUCCAAAUGGAAAGGACCGUCGCAUCAGACUCUUGCGGGCAUGAGGUCCUUGUUGGUGGAGCUCUUCCCCAGCCAUGAGAAAAGAAACGGAUGACAAAGUCUUCUGAAAUGGAACUCUUCACUGCUAUCUGACUCUUCUAGAAGAUCUUCAUUUUUAGAAGAUUUUGUGUUUCAUCCAGAAAUCAAAUGUAAUUAUGUUGUACUUGGAAAUAUUUGAUUCAUAUCGGGUAUGAAAUAUUAAAGAUGAAAAAUGACUGGAAAGAUGAUGAAAAGAACUACUUAAACAUUAUGAAUAAGACAAAAUGCCUUAUUUGAAUUCAGUCAACACAGAUUGAGCCUUUUCAGCACUAGUUAAUGAGCCUACCUAGAUGAGGAAGACCCUGACCUUAUGGAUCCUUCAGCCCAGUGAGGUGGUCACACCACCCAAUGCAGUAUAAAAAAUAUGUAAUGGGGGGGGUCUGGCCCCGUGGCCGAGUGGUUGGGUUCACGCGCUCCGCUGCAGGCGGCCCAGUGUUUCGUCAGUUCGAAUCCUGGGCGCGGACAUGACACUGCUCGUCGAACCACGCUGGGGUGGCGUCCCACAUACCACAACUAGAAGGACCCACAACGAAGAACAUACAACUAUGUGCCAGGGGGCUUUGGGGAGAAAAAGGAAAAAAUAAAAAUCUUUAAAAAAAAUGUAAUGGGGACACAUACAACAUGCCACUGGGAGGCAGAGGUAAAUUUAUCUGAAGAAGAUUGGGAAAGGGUCCACUAGGGUGAUGCCCUUGUUGAUGAUGUCUUGUAGGUGUUCACCAGGUGCAGAAGAGGGGAAAGGACAUUGCAAACAGAGGGAUGCAUAUGUGCAGACAAUGAGGCAUGUGCAUAUGCCCGCUGCUGGAAUAGAGGGGAGCUUUGGGUGGCUAAAGCUUUAUGGUGGACAUGACAUAAAAUGAGUCUAAGAUCUGCUGUGGUUAGAUGGAGA
Molecule: long non-coding RNA, 2242 nt
Filed under: Equus asinus (donkey)
Lineage: Eukaryota; Metazoa; Chordata; Mammalia; Perissodactyla; Equidae
Description: lncRNA (ENSEASG00005024893.1)
Source: RNAcentral